This 425-nucleotide non-coding RNA is filed under the name Ricinus communis (castor bean). Its description in RNAcentral is "Bacterial small subunit ribosomal RNA". It matches the Rfam family "Bacterial small subunit ribosomal RNA", at positions 78 to 536 of the family's 1533-position model. The record is from Rfam by way of RNAcentral. Lineage: Eukaryota; Viridiplantae; Streptophyta; Magnoliopsida; Malpighiales; Euphorbiaceae.
UGUCAAACCAUAAAUCUAUUAAUAAAAUAUAGAAAUGCUAAUGACCAACUAAUAUGCAGGAAGAGAAACAACAACUAGAAACAUUUACUAAUACCCCGUAGGCUGAGAAGCAAAAGGAGGAAUCCGCCCGAGGGACUCGCAUAUAAUUAAUUAGUUAGUGAGGCAAUAGCUUACCAAGACAAUAAUUAGUAGCCGAUAUGAGAGGAUGAUUAGCUAUAAUAAGAUUGAGAAACGGCCUAGACUGCUACGAGGGACAGUAGUGGAGAAUUUUCUGUAAUGGGUGUAAGCCUGACAAAGCAGUCUGCAUGGAGAUAGAAGGCCUACGAGUCAUGAACUUUUUUUCCUAGAAAAGAAGUAAUGACAGUAUCACAGAAAUAAGUAUCGGCUAACUUCGUGCCAGUAACUACAGUAAUACAAAUGAUGCA